RNAcentral lists this ribosomal RNA (492 nucleotides) under uncultured bacterium. RNAcentral describes it as "partial 16S ribosomal RNA". It matches the Rfam family "Bacterial small subunit ribosomal RNA", at positions 29 to 507 of the family's 1533-position model. The record is from RNAcentral.
AGUGAACGCUGGCGGUAGGCCUAACACAUGCAAGUCGAACGGCAGCACAGUAAGAGCUUGCUCUUACGGGUGGCGAGUGGCGGACGGGUGAGGAAUACAUCGGAAUCUACUUUUUCGUGGGGGAUAACGUAGGGAAACUUACGCUAAUACCGCAUACGACCUACGGGUGAAAGCAGGGGAUCUUCGGACCUUGCGCGAUUGAAUGAGCCGAUGUCGGAUUAGCUAGUUGGCGGGGUAAAGGCCCACCAAGGCGACGAUCCGUAGCUGGUCUGAGAGGAUGAUCAGCCACAUUGGAACUGAGCCACGGUCCAGACUCCUACGGGAGGCAGCAGUGGGGAAUAUUGGACAAUGGGCGCAAGCCUGAUCCAGCCAUACCGCGUGGGUGAAGAAGGCCUUCGGGUUGUAAAGCCCUUUUGUUGGGAAAGAAAAGCAGCAGGUUAAUACCCCGCUGUUCUGACGGUACCCAAAGAAUAAGCACCGGCUAACUUCGUG